RNAcentral lists this ribosomal RNA (356 nucleotides) under uncultured bacterium. RNAcentral describes it as "partial 16S ribosomal RNA". It matches the Rfam family "Bacterial small subunit ribosomal RNA", at positions 338 to 686 of the family's 1533-position model. The record is from RNAcentral.
CCUACGGGAGGCAGCAGUGGGGAAUAUUGCGCAAUGGGCGAAAGCCUGACGCAGCGACGCCGCGUGAGGGAUGAAGGUCUUCGGAUCGUAAACCUCUGUCAGCAGGGAAGAACGGUCACUGUGCUAAUCAGCAGCGAAUUGACGGUACCUGCAAAGGAAGCACUGGCUAACUCCGUGCCAGCAGCCGCGGUAAUACGGAGGGGGCGAGCGUUAAUCGGAAUUACUGGGCGUAAAGCGCUCGUAGUCGGUAUGUCAAGUCAAGGGUGAAAUCCCCGCGCUCAACGCUGGAACCGCCUUUGAAACUAGCAAACUAGAGGGUGUGAGAGGAUAGUGGAAUUCCAGGUGUAGCAGUGAAA